UACGGAGGGUGCAAGCGUUGUCCGGAUUCAUUGGGUUUAAAGGGUGCGCAGGCGGGAAAUUAAGUCAGGGGUGAAAGACGGUUGCUCAACAAUCGCAGUGCCUUUGAUACUGGUUUUCUUGGGUGGCCUUGAGGUAGGCGGAAUGGGUGGUGUAGCGGUGAAAUGCAUAGAUACCACCCAGAACUCCGAUUGCGAAGGCAGCCUACUGGAGGUUCACCGACGCUCAGGCACGAAAGCGUGGGGAGCAAACAGG
This 253-nucleotide ribosomal RNA is filed under the name uncultured bacterium. RNAcentral's name for it is "partial 16S ribosomal RNA". It matches the Rfam family "Bacterial small subunit ribosomal RNA", at positions 524 to 776 of the family's 1533-position model. The record is from RNAcentral.